GUCUGUCCACAAUGGGAUCGAUCAGAUCUAUCGGCGUACGUGCGUCUGGCUGCUAGGGCGCUUGCCCGCUGGCCGCCGCCGCCUGCUGCGUGCCGCCAUGACACCAUCCACGACCACAGAACCAGCACGCGGCCAGACGAUAGGAUACUGCCUACUGGAGACUCCAGCGAGAGCGAGUGCAUAUACUCGUUUCAACCGGUAAUGGCCGCCGGUAAUUGUUAUCGCCGGCUUUCUGGGCGCCGUACAACUGUCGAGUAACUCCUAAGCAAAUCGAUUGCGAGAAGGAGAAUUUUGUCAGAUGUUGAAGAGGACUAAGGUUAACUACUGCUAGCAUCUUAAUGGGAAAAUCUAAAGGACCUGUAAGUGAUCAUGGUGGACAUAUCCAUGCCCAUAAUCUUUAAUGCACUUGAUUAGAGAUCUCCUGAUUGGAAUUGUCCUACUGUGUUUGUAGUACUAGAGCUUUGGUCCACUUUUUCAUCAAGUAUGUAGUCAUUUCACCACAACUACAACAAUUCUAUGAUGUUUUUUGUGAAUCAUGGUGUGUGUAUA
Triticum aestivum (bread wheat) is the source of this 549-nucleotide long non-coding RNA. RefSeq lists it as uncharacterized. The transcript has 2 exons. NCBI's taxonomy places the organism in Eukaryota, Viridiplantae, Streptophyta, Magnoliopsida, Poales, Poaceae. The record is from RefSeq and is a predicted model, not a curated record.